AGCGAACGCUGGCGGCAGGCCUAACACAUGCAAGUCGAACGGACUCUUCGGAGUUAGUGGCGGACGGGUGAGUAACACGUGGGAACGUGCCUUUAGGUUCGGAAUAGCUCCUGGAAACGGGUGGUAAUGCCGAAUGUGCCCUUCGGGGGAAAGAUUUAUCGCCUUUAGAGCGGCCCGCGUCUGAUUAGCUUGUUGGUGGGGUAAUGGCCCACCAAGGCUACGAUCAGUAGCUGGUCUGAGAGGAUGACCAGCCACAUUGGGACUGAGACACGGCCCAAACUCCUACGGGAGGCAGCAGUGGGAAUCUUGCGCAAUGGGCGAAAGCCUGACGCAGCCAUGCCGCGUGUAUGAUGAAGGUCUUAGGAUUGUAAAAUACUUUCACCGGUGAAGAUAAUGACUGUAGCCGGAGAAGAAGCCCCGGCUAACUUCGUGCCAGCAGCCGCGGUAAUACGAAGGGGGCUAGCGUUGCUCGGAAUUACUGGGCGUAAAGGGAGCGUAGGCGGACAUUUAAGUCAGAGGUGAAAUCCCGGAGCUUAACUUCGGAACUGCCUUUGAUACUGGGUGUCUUGAGUGUGAGAGAGGUAUGUGGAACUCCGAGUGUAGAGGUGAAAUUCGUAGAUAUUCGGAAGAACACCAGUGGCGAAGGCGACAUACUGGCUCAUUACUGACGCUGAGGCUCGAAAGCGUGGGGAGCAAACAGGAUUAGAUACCCUGGUAGUCCACGCCGUAAACGAUGAUUGCUAGUUGUCGGGAAGCUUGCUUUUCGGUGACGCAGCUAACGCAUUAAGCAAUCCGCCUGGGGAGUACGGUCGCAAGAUUA
Molecule: ribosomal RNA, 820 nt
Filed under: uncultured bacterium
Lineage: Bacteria
Description: bacterial SSU rRNA
Rfam family: Bacterial small subunit ribosomal RNA
Source: RNAcentral